Molecule: long non-coding RNA, 8122 nt
Organism: Seriola aureovittata
Lineage: Eukaryota; Metazoa; Chordata; Actinopteri; Carangiformes; Carangidae
Exons: 5
Source: RefSeq, a predicted model, not a curated record
GCACUGGGCCCAGAUGACGGAGGUGGUCAGCUUCAGCCAGAUUUUCAGUGUGGGGAACAGCUGCAUGGGCGCAUCACUGUUCUCUUUCCUCCACCUCUUCAGGACCACGACUGUUAUUAAGCAGACACGCAGUUCCAAAAUAGGAUCACAUUGUUACCUUUCUGAUUGGCCCUGGCUCCUCUGACCCUGAUGACACACUCCCUGCCUCUGGAGUCUGAUACCAAAACAGAAUGGUUCGCCCCCCCAGGAUGAGGCAAUGAGGCAAUGAGGCAUGGAGGCUGAAUUAAUGGCCUGCCACCUAUUGCCUCAUAUAUGAGGGAGAACCAUGGAGAAUCUAGUGCCACUCCCUGACAGCGGCUUCCUGAGCUCCUGCACCCAUUGCAAUUAAAAUGAAUACCUGUAGUGCACAAUUCAUGAUGUAGUGUUCAUUUCAAACUCUAGAUACACAGAGAGCAGUAACUGUUAUAUUUCAUUCAUGUUAUUAUUACACAGUGUUAUAGUUAAAUACAAUGAAUACAAACCAUGUAUGUCUUUUUUUACCCACUUUUUGGCUGCUCCGGCAGGACUCACCACAUCACCAAGUCCCAGCUCUUUUGCAUUGUGGGAUGUGACAAGUCCACUAUAUAGGGUAUAAUAAUUCUAUAGCACUACAAAAUGACAAAUUCGUACAUCAAUAGACACAGGUACCAGGGCCUCUGACACCCAGUCCAAUCUUCACUGGGACAUAGGUAGCAGGGCCUCUGUUACAGGGACAAAAAUGAAGGAUGAAGCUCACUCUGGCGUAACAUAUCUAAUGUUAGAGUUUUCUGUUGGACAGAUGAAAACACAGUGGUCAAACUCACAUUGCUCUCUGCUGCGUGUAUACUCCUGAACUCAUGCAUCACCUACUGACUUCCUCUAUGCUGGCGUUAGCUUUAAAGCUUAACCAUGUUUAAUCAACUUUCUAAUACCAUUGAAACUCAUACACAAUAUUAUAAACACACAUUUCUAUUUUUACCAGUUUAACUUCUCUCUUUCACAGGUUUACAGGUAAUUAAUGAUUUAGCUGUAAAAUGCUCAUUUCCAAAUGUCCUCACAGGUAAGUAUUCAACAUCUCAUUAACUUCCCUUUUUAAACCUCUAUGAAAUAUACUUACAUAAACUAACUUAACAGUAUUAUUUAAUCAAAGUAACAGUCACUAUAAUUAUCCUUUUCAAUGUAGUCUCUGAAACUGUAGUACUGUACACUGAGCAUUUCACAAGAUGACAUACAGUUCAUGCAAUUACUGAACGAAAGAAUACAUCAGAAUAUGGAUGGUCACCUGGAAAUACCUCUCCUCUUUAAGACACGCCCACAACUGCCAGAAAAUUAGCAGCUGGCUCUAAGUGCAGCUGAAUAACCUGAAAUGGAAACUUGAGAAAAAUCCCAAAUUCAAGGAUGGCUAUGUUCAAUUUAUGGAAGGUCCAUCACACAAGAAAGCCAGAGAAAAUUAGGGUUGUGUUUGACUGCUCUGCUAAGUAUGAUGGCAUGGCGCUGAACAAUCACUUACUAACUGGACCUGAUCUCACAAAUGCUCAGACAGUUGUGCUCUACAGCUUCUGCAAGCAUCCAGUCGCAGCCAUCUGUGAUUUAGAAAAAAUGUUCCACAGGUUCCAUGUAAGGAAAGAAGAAAGGGAUUACUUGUGGUUCCUUUGUUGUGAAAUUGGGGAUACAGAUUCAGAGCCAUAAGAAUAUCACAUGACGGUCCAUCUUUUUGGAGCAGCAUCCUCUCCUGGCUGCACCAAUUGCGGAACGAAGUACUUGGCAAGCCAAAAUGAAAAAGAGUAUCCAUCAACUUCAUCAGAAAGAACUUCUACAUUGAUGAUGGCCUCAUCAGUGUAUAAUCUGCAUUCACAGCCAUCAAACUGGUAAGAGAAGCACAAAUUGUGUGUGAAAAAGGGAGAUAGACAAAGUGCUGGCAGACAUUCCCUGCCAAGAGUGUGUUGUGUACCUGGACGAUAUCCUUGUUCAUGGUGAGUCCUUCGAGUCAGCUCUCAGGGCCCUCAGCUCAGGUUUCUGCUGGAAAGGGUGGCAGCAGCAGGACUGAAACUACACCCCCAGAAGUGCUGCUUUUUGAGGCAUGACGUCACAUUCCUACAGUGUCAGCACAAUGAAUCAGAAGGAGCAAAUAGUUAGGGACUGGCCAACCCUCAGCUCUGUGCAGGACCUGAAAGGUUUUCUGGGCCUAGCCUACUACUACGGAAAGAUGGUGAGGGGUUUCUCCUGCAUUGCUGCACCCCUUUCCCCACCUGCUGCAAAAGGGGGGCACUUUCUCGUGGACACAGGAGUGGCAGGCAGAAUUCACCUCACUGUGGAAAGCCCUUGUGGAGGCUCCAGUUUCCAGUUCUUUCCCCACCUGACCCCACUCUGCCUUUUGUUCUUGACACAGAUGCCAGUAGUGUCAGCUCAGGCGGAGAGGGAGUGCUGGCAUUCCACAGCAGGACAUUCAAUAAGGCCGGAUGUCGUUAUUGUGUCACCCGUCAGGAGCUGCUCGCUGUGGUCAGUGCCAUUAGCCAUUUCAAAUAUUACCUGGGCAGCCUCCACUUCACAGUGAGGACUGACCACUCUGCCUUGCAGUGGCUCAUGUCUUUCAGAGAGCCAGAAGGCCAGCUGGCAUGCUGGCUCGAGGAGCUACAGAUAUAUGACUUCACUGUGUUCCACAGACCAGGGGCUCACCAUAGAAAUGCUAAUGUGCUCUCCCACUGCCCCUACAAUGCUGAUGGCUGUCACUAUUGUGAGAGGAAAGAGGCUCAGGAGGGAGAGUGGUUGCAACCAGAUGUGAAAUGUGCAGUUGUGGGCCAAGAUGGGCUAACAACCAGCCAUGCACUGGCAGCGGUGGAUGCUGCAGAGUGGAGGCAUAAACAGGAGGAGGACGUCGACAUCAAACCUGUGCUCACGUUGGUGGUGACACAGCAACGGUCCCCAUGGGAGAAGGUUGCCAUGUUUUCUUGAGCCACAAAGGGACUCUGGUCGAUGUUUGAAGCCCUAUCCCUCUAUGUUGGGUUGCUGCAAAGGGAUUGGAAAGAACCAGCUACAGGGGAGAGAUGGUGGCAGGUGGUGGUGCCCAGGACCUUGGGUGAGAUAUUGCUCCAGGCAGUACAUAGAGCUCCAGGGUGCCAACCUGCAGGAGACACCUGGAGAGAGUGGGGAUUGAUGUUCUCGGGCGGAGGGGAUGUUUAGUAGAUUUGGAGUACCCAAAGUCAUUCACACUGACCAGGGCAGAAACUUGAGUCCUGUGUGUUCGCAGUCAUGUGUGAAAAACUGGGGUCCCACAAGACUCGCACUACACCCCUCCACCCAGUGACGAGCUGGUCGAGAAAUUUAACCGCACACUAGCACAACAACUGGCCAUGGUGACUGCUAAACACCAAUGGGACUGUGAUAACCAUGUCCCCCUUGCGUUGAGUUGUAGCACUAUUUCCUCAUAAUUCAACAGUCUCCCACAGUAGAUGAAUCAGUAAUAAAUAAUCCUUAGUUGCAGCCGAGUCCCUGCCAGUCUGUCUUCUGUUGGAUCACUGUUCUGACCAGCAGUUGUGUUCCAAAGUCAGUCUGUGUAAUGACCAUCAGAAGCAGCGGCAGAUGAAGAGCAGAGUGGCUGUGACAUAUGUCUCCCAUUGUAAUAAAAAUAUCAAUACUUGCAGCUCCAAUUUGUUUUUUUAUGUGGCACCCAUCAUAAUCUGACACCCCACCCCCCGCACCAGUGGGAGAGGGAACCUUCAGUGUAGUGCCACAGAAAAUAUUACAGCCAGUGUUGUGCCUGGACGCGUUUUAGCGAACGCUGAACUGAACGAAUCAGUUUACAAAUGAUGAACUUCAUCGAGAGUGAACGCCGCUCACGUUUUACGACAGUUAAAGCUCACGUUUUACGACAGUUUUACGGCACACUGCAUAACGUCUCCAUAGCCACAGUCCAGUUUAGUGGUCCAGACGGUACCGACUCAACUACUACUGAUAACGCCAGUUGAAGCAGUUAUAUGAACAAACAAGUGAAGACUCAGACGGAUUAUAUUUAUAUACGGAUUGUUGGUCUGAGAUUCUUCAGUGGUGUACAUCUUACCGGAUGCGUCUUCUCCCUGAUGAAACCAUGGAUGUAAUAACACAAACACAGCUCGGUGAUACAUGUAGCAGUGGUGGACAGACUGACCUCUCACUACAACUGUUAGACCAACAGUGAAUCUGGACCCCCCCACCCCUGACUCUGCUCGCCGGUGGAUACAACGGGAAACACCAUAAAGAGAAAUACCUUCUGCUCUGAAGACACUCAAUCACAGCUGCAGAGGAAGCCCCUCAGUUAUUGGUUGAAAGCUGGGAUUGUCUUCCAGCUGCUCUUCCAGAGACAGUGAACACCUCCACCUGCAGUAUGAGCGAAUUAACAGACUUUCUCAGAGGCCAAAUAGUUGGUGCCCAGGUGGCAGGUCUGUCUGUCAGAGAAACUGCCCAGUUAUGUGAUGUGUCAGGUCGCACUGUCCUCAAAGUCAUGAGUGUUUACAACAUGCACGGAGACAUGGCAUUAGCAAAGAAGAACAGCAGGCGCAAGCCAAAGAGUAAAACGAAGAGGGCAAAAGCUGCAGUUACUGAAGGAGCUGCUACCGGGAAACCACUGUCUGACUCUGAGAAGGACACACCAAGACCUGAAGAGAGCGAGACACCUGCGUCUCAGACCAGAGACAAGGAAUAACGCUUCAGACUUUCUGUUACAUCUAGACUGAUUCAUGUUUGCGUAAAACCACAGCAUGCUUUCUUUUAGCCCACAAUUUUACUUACUUUGAAGAAGUUUCAUUUAUGUAUUUAGGUUUAAAACAUUUUUUGUCAGAAUUGAAAAUGUAGAUAGGAUAGAUAGAUAGAUUCUUUACUGUCAUUGCUUCAAAAUACACAACGAGAUCAAGUUUGGCAGCAUUUAUUAAAAAAAUCAUUAAAAUAUAUAAGUAUAUAAUAAAAUAAGAUAUGCAUUGGAUAUAACGAAACUGUCAAUAUUGCACAGUUAUAGCAGGAACAGUUCAUGAGGCAAUGUACAUUAGUUUAAACCAGUGCUUUUCUCUGUGAUGGUGCAGCUAGCAAAAGUUUUUGUCCAACUUGUUGUUGAAGGGGAAACACUAAUGGAAAAUAAUAUGAUGUCGUGGUAAUUUUUUCCUUUAACUGAGAAAGAAUUGAGGAUGAGGAGAAGCCUGGAAGGGGGUGAGAAUGACUCAGAGAGAAGUAAAGGUGUUAAAGUCAACCUGUUUUGUUAAUUCAAAAUCACAAAAAUGUUUCUGUGUUUGUGUUAUUGAUGGAUGUGUAUUGUGCAAUGAUUUCAAUAAGAGAAAACUUUUUCUUCUCCUCUGUUUCUGUCUUCCAUCCUUUUCCUGUGUUGAAUCACUGUUCUCACCAGGUGUGUAAACAUGUUCUGUGACCAUCAGACGUAGCAAAAGAUAAAGAAUGGAGUGACCUUAAAAACAGCCUUGAGAGUUGUAGCACUAUUUCCUCCUAAUUCAACAGUCUCCCACAGUAGAUGAAUCAGUAAUAAAUAAUCCUUAGUUGCAGCUUAGUCCCUGGCAGUCUGUCUUCUGUUGGAUCACUGUUUAGUCAAUCUGUGUAAUGACCAUCAGAAGCCGUGGCAGAUGAAGAGCAGAGUGACUGUGACAAAUGUAAAGCUGUUUCUUUAUAACUGAUAAGUCUCCCAUUCGUAAUUAUUCAAUAAUAAAUAUCAAUACUUGCAGCUCUAAUUUGUUUUUUUAUGUGGUGUCAUAGUCUGACACCCCACCCCAGCCUGCACCAGUGGGAGAGGGAACCUUCAGAGUAGUGCCACAGAAAAUAUUACAGCAAUGAUGUUUACUGCUCAGUUCUUUUACUAUUCAAAAAUCGCCAUUUCAGUGAUGAAGUGAGCUCUGUGGAGCAGAUGACAUAACGCUUUUAUUCUGAAAAAAUCUUACCGGAUGCGUGUUCUCCCUGAUGAAACACAAACACAGCUCGGUGAUAACAUGUAGCAGUGGUGGACAGACUGACCUCUCACUACAACUGUUGAUAGAAUGCAGCUCAGCCGUUGAUCAGUGGAUCUUUCCUGACCCUGGAUCUCUCUGCCCAUGCGUACACAAUAAUGGAAACACUAUAUGACAGAGGGCUCUGGAUCUCCUAGUUGCAGUCAUUACAGAGCCUGCUACCUGUUGGCUCCAAAAAAACACUUUUAAUAGAAGUGUUCAAAGCAAUAUGAGUGACUUAACAGAGUUUGAAAGAUGCCAAAUAGUUGCUGCACGACUUUCUGGUGCAUCUGUCACAAAAACUGCACAGCUCUUUAAUGUGGCCAGGGGAACAGUCUCCAGAGUUAUGACUGUAUAUAUCAAACAUGGAAGAACAGCAUCAGCAAAGAAGAACAGUGGGCGCAAGUCAAAGCUCACCGAAAAGGACAGACAGACACUUCUCAGGAUAGUUGAUGAACACCCUGAGUACACAGCCUCUAAGAUAACCUCCGAGUUGAACAGACACCUGUCUCACACCGUGUCAGUAAAAACUGUUCGACGCGAGCUUCACAAAGCUGGUAUUUUUAGAGGAGCAGCCAAUCGGAAAUCAGAGACUGAGACUGAUGGAAAGAACACUAAACCUGAAUGUGACACACAAAACCCCAGUGAAGAGAGCACAAGACCCGAAAUGCAAACUGAUGUCAAAGAGUGUGGUACACAACAGCCUGUGGGAGACAAAAUAAUAUCUGAACCCCAGGUUUGUGUGGAAGAGUCCAACACAGAAAAAUCUGAAGAUAGGAUACAACCUGAGCUCAUGUCAGCAAAGAAGAGCACAGCACACAAGCCUGGCGAAGAAAGCACAGGAGCUGAACCUCAGACCAGGGGAAAGUAAUUACAUGUCUGAUGUGUUGUACUUCAGCCUCUCUACAGCAUCUAGAUUGAUCAUGUGAGGGGAAAACCACAGAAUGCCUUCAUCCCUUAAUGUCUCCAACUAUGAGAUAUGCUCAUGGAUUUUUAAUAACAUUUGAGUUUCUAGAUUUGAUUAUUUAUUUGGCAUGAAUGCAUCAUAGUGCAGUAUUGAGGUUUUUACAUUUUUCCUGGUUUAAAAGCAAACAUUAUGACUUCACUUUAGACUGUUGUGAAAUAGCCAAAAUAAUCGACCACAGCUCUACUGCAGAUGUUUAACAGUAUUUUAUGUCAUCGUUUAAUGUGAAACACUCAAGUCUGUAAACAGAACCAAUUGCAAAAUUCAGGGUUCGUUUUCUAAUUUGUAGACCAAUGUCAUACUGAGAUGGCACUGCUAUUUUUCACCAUAUCUGAUUAUGUGAGUGGUACUGUAAAGCAAAGCCUUUUUGAGGUUAUACGUAUCAGAACUUGUGUAAUGGUUUGAAACCAAGUUGUAACUACAAUCCCGUAAGAGCCUUAAAAUAUACAGUAGUUCCUCUGCUGCCUCAAAAAGUCAUACUGCAUUGAAGUCAACAUAAAGCCCUCUGUUCACAGUUGAAAACCUUCAUAUUGUGUCUUCUAACAGGCUUUGGUAUUCAAAAACACAAUAUAUCAUGUUUAAUUAUGGCGAUAUUAAGGCUUGAAGAGAAGUGUGUGUUUUGAGGCUUGUUUCAAGGGUUUCUCUAGAUUUCAGAACGCACCUUCAGAAAACUGGGAGAGUGCAGAUGUGGAACUUCUGUCUACCUUUUAUAAAAAGUAAAAUGCGUCAUUCAUCUGUACAUAUUUAUUUUGCUGCAGUAGUAUGAUGAUAACUGAUGACUCCACCAUCAUGUAUUGAAUCUAAAUGAUCAAAUCCCCACCAAGCUUUUCUUUGUCUACUAAGUUUAUCACAUUUGUAUAGCUUGCAUGUACAUAGCUGUUGCAGGGGUGGGAGUGGGACGCAGCGCAUCAGACAGCACAUGUGAUGAUUGUACCGCAUAUUUAAACAAUACACUAAAAACUAUUAAAGGUGUCUGUACUUUCAAAACCACAUCAGCUAACAAAUAUAUGCUGUGUAAUACACCAUGCACUCGCUAAGUAUAUCUUUUUCAAAGGGUGAAUACUAACAAGUGGUUUCAAAUGAUUUCAUAAAAUCCUGCUGAAUCUUGUUUGAGAACUCUUGAGCCAGAGAGUUGUUCCUGUGUUUGUAUGAGCAUUCAAUAAAUCAUACAGCUAUAAUUACCAUC